Long non-coding RNA from Brassica oleracea var. oleracea, 1051 nucleotides. RefSeq lists it as uncharacterized. Lineage: Eukaryota; Viridiplantae; Streptophyta; Magnoliopsida; Brassicales; Brassicaceae. The transcript has 4 exons. The record is from RefSeq and is a predicted model, not a curated record.
UAAGCUUUUGUGGUUGAGUUAGAAGAAUAAACCUUUUCAACUAUCUCUUUCUUCAAUCUCUCUUUUCAAGGAAAAUAAGAUCCGACUAUCAAUAUGAAGAAAUAUGCAGAGGAUCUAAUCAAAUGGUGUCUCGCCGGAGUUAUCUGCUCGUAAAGAAGAAGCAUGUCGACACCCAUGAGUUGGCCGCCUUUCUUAACAGUUCUUGCUCCCCAUAAUCAGAGGAGACAGACCUCGGCGAUGUUUGAACAACAUUCAGCUUUCAAAUCGGUGAUUAGAAAUUUUAAUUGGAUUCGGGAUUACGGUUUCUAUGUGAUGAUAAAAGUCUUGGCCUUUCAGUGAUCCUCUGCGGUUGCGGCUUGAUCCCCAAUAAGGAAACGUCCAGUGGAAAAUUAUGCAGCAAUCAUUGAAGGAUGGAGCAAAACGAUUCAGUAGCUGAUGAAAAGUUGGGAAACUUAGCGUUGAGACCCAGUGGUGUUCUCAGUUUUGACAGUCCUGUUCUUGCCCAUGAUUUGCUUCUUCUUUAUAGGGAGACCCAAUGGCGUUCUCAGUUUUGACAGUUCUGGUCCGUUGCAUUGUACCCAGUCUGUCUUUAUAGCGAGCUGAACAGAAGGUUUACCUUAUCUCUGACAGCAUUAUUCCAUACGAUGUUGACAUAGAAAAAAAUGUGGUAUAUCCUACAUAGUUUUUGAACAGUGUUAAAGUCGCUACAUUGCCUUGACACUGUUUAAAGCUAGAAGUUGGUGCUCAUAUCAUGCGUCUUCGUAACAUGGAUGCUGCAGUUGGCUUAUGUAAUGGUACUAGGCUAAUUGUUAGUCAGAUAUUUCCCAAUGUGAUACAAGGUAGAAUUAUAACGGGAAACGAUAUUGCCGGAGAGGAUGUUUGGAUUCCCAGAAUGUUUGUCACACCACCUGACACAAAGUUUCCCUUUAGAAUGCGUUGAAGACAGUUUCCAGUUACAUUGGUGUUCGCGAUGACCAUCAAUAAAAGUCAAGGUCAAACGCUGCAAAAUGUUGGUUUGUUUCUACCUAAACCAGUGUUCUCUCAUGGCCAA